UACAGAGGGUGCAAGCGUUAAUCGGAAUUACUGGGCGUAAAGCGUGCGUAGUCGGUUAUCUAAGUCGGGUGUGAAAUCCCCGGGCUCAACCUGGGAAUUGCAUUCGAUACUGGAUAGCUAGAGUUCGGCAGAGGGAAGCGGAAUUUCGGGUGUAGCGGUGAAAUGCGUAGAUAUCCGAAGGAACAUCAGUGGCGAAAGCGGCUUCCUGGACCAGAACUGACGAUCAGGCACGAAAACGUGGGGAGCAAACAGG
RNAcentral lists this ribosomal RNA (253 nucleotides) under uncultured bacterium. Its description in RNAcentral is "partial 16S ribosomal RNA". It matches the Rfam family "Bacterial small subunit ribosomal RNA", at positions 524 to 776 of the family's 1533-position model. The record is from RNAcentral.